AUUGAACGCUGGCGGAAUGCUUUACACAUGCAAGUCGAACGGCAGCACGGGGGCAGCCCUGGUGGCGAGUGGCGAACGGGUGAGUAAUACAUCGGAACGUGCCCGGUCGUGGGGGAUAACGUAGCGAAAGGUACGCUAAUACCGCAUACGAUCUGAGGAUGAAAGCGGGGGACCUUCGGGCCUCGCCCGAUCGGAGCGGCCGAUGUCAGAUUAGGUAGUUGGUUGGGUAAAGGCCUACCAAGCCGACGAUCUGUAGCUGGUCUGAGAGGACGACCAGCCACACUGGGACUGAGACACGGCCCAGACUCCUACGGGAGGCAGCAGUGGGGAAUUUUGGACAAUGGGCGCAAGCCUGAUCCAGCCAUGCCGCGUGAAGGACGAAGGCCUUCGGGUUGUAAACUGCUUUUGUACGGAACGAAAAGGCUCUGGCUAAUACCUGGGGCUCAUGACGGUACCGUAAGAAUAAGCACCGGCUAACUACGUG
This 484-nucleotide ribosomal RNA is filed under the name uncultured bacterium. Its description in RNAcentral is "partial 16S ribosomal RNA". It matches the Rfam family "Bacterial small subunit ribosomal RNA", at positions 29 to 507 of the family's 1533-position model. The record is from RNAcentral.